RNAcentral lists this ribosomal RNA (816 nucleotides) under Streptomyces sp. RNAcentral's name for it is "bacterial SSU rRNA". It matches the Rfam family "Bacterial small subunit ribosomal RNA", at positions 91 to 921 of the family's 1533-position model. Lineage: Bacteria; Bacillati; Actinomycetota; Actinomycetes; Kitasatosporales; Streptomycetaceae. The record is from RNAcentral.
AUUAGUGGCGAACGGGUGAGUAACACGUGGGCAAUCUGCCCUUCACUCUGGGACAAGCCCUGGAAACGGGGUCUAAUACCGGAUAACACUCUGUCCCGCAUGGGACGGGGUUAAAAGCUCCGGCGGUGAAGGAUGAGCCCGCGGCCUAUCAGCUUGUUGGUGGGGUAAUGGCCUACCAAGGCGACGACGGGUAGCCGGCCUGAGAGGGCGACCGGCCACACUGGGACUGAGACACGGCCCAGACUCCUACGGGAGGCAGCAGUGGGGAAUAUUGCACAAUGGGCGAAAGCCUGAUGCAGCGACGCCGCGUGAGGGAUGACGGCCUUCGGGUUGUAAACCUCUUUCAGCAGGGAAGAAGCGAAAGUGACGGUACCUGCAGAAGAAGCGCCGGCUAACUACGUGCCAGCAGCCGCGGUAAUACGUAGGGCGCAAGCGUUGUCCGGAAUUAUUGGGCGUAAAGAGCUCGUAGGCGGCUUGUCACGUCGGAUGUGAAAGCCCGGGGCUUAACCCCGGGUCUGCAUUCGAUACGGGCUAGCUAGAGUGUGGUAGGGGAGAUCGGAAUUCCUGGUGUAGCGGUGAAAUGCGCAGAUAUCAGGAGGAACACCGGUGGCGAAGGCGGAUCUCUGGGCCAUUACUGACGCUGAGGAGCGAAAGCGUGGGGAGCGAACAGGAUUAGAUACCCUGGUAGUCCACGCCGUAAACGUUGGGAACUAGGUGUUGGCGACAUUCCACGUCGUCGGUGCCGCAGCUAACGCAUUAAGUUCCCCGCCCUGGGGAGUACGGCGCAAGCUAAACUCAAAGGAAUUGACGGGGGCC